Molecule: long non-coding RNA, 817 nt
Organism: Haliotis rufescens (red abalone)
Lineage: Eukaryota; Metazoa; Mollusca; Gastropoda; Lepetellida; Haliotidae
Exons: 4
Source: RefSeq, a predicted model, not a curated record
CCAUCUUAUCGAUGGCUUCAAAUGAAAGAGGCACAUACCCUCACGAACUUCCAAGGGUAACCUCGUCACUAUCCUAAUACCGUAACGACGGGAAGGAGGACUCAGCCCAAGCAGAUCAGACCAAGUUGUAAAUGAUGAAUUUCAGGCAGAAUCAUCCUGCCUGAUCCAAAUCUCACAGGAAUUUCUUUGGCGAGAAAAAAGAUUUGCUUUGAUGCCGAUGCCAUGUCUAUGCUUCAUUACGAUGUGUGAAGGAGGAGAUCUAUUACAUACUACAGCACACUGAGUGAUGGUCCUGAACAGCAGCAGAGGAGUCCCAGGGCAGAUGAUCGCAAAUGGUGAUCCGAUUGGGUUUGUGAAGGUGAGGGACACCAGCCCUUGCGUCUACCAGACAUCCACGGAGAAUACAUGACUUGUUGGACAAUUUACACUGAUACCUACAAGACAUACAGCAAGUCCAUCAGUCUCACGUUAAUUCCUCCGAGGUGGAGACAGGCUUAGCGAAGAUUUUAUACCCACAGAUUCCAAUUGAGUUCAGCCCUCUGGUAAUUGACAUGAAACUUUCUUGACUGUUCAGAAAUGACAGGCGCCACUUGGUCUCAAAGGGUUGGCAAAAAUGGAUUGCUGCAAAGCGUUCAUUGCAUUUUUCUGCUAAUAUUAAUUUGUCUGGGUUAAACAUGUCCAGAGAUUGAUGAAGCUGUCCAAGGGAUAUUUUCAUCACCUCUGUUUCAGUGAGCUACUUGAGCUAACAUUUAUGUUGUCACAGUUUAUCUGCUAUGGAUUUGAAUUCUGUAAUUGAAAUACAUUCAGCUCCAAAAUA